GACGAACGCUGGCGGCGUGCUUAACACAUGCAAGUCGAACGAUGAACCCGGAGCUUGCUCCGGCGGAUUAGUGGCGAACGGGUGAGUAACACGUGAGUAACCUGCCCUUGACUCUGGGAUAACUGCUAGAAAUGGUAGCUAAUACCGGAUACGACCCUCGGUGGCAUCACCAGGGGGUGGAAAGAAUUUCGGUCAAGGAUGGACUCGCGGCCUAUCAGCUAGUUGGUGGGGUAACGGCGCACCAAGGCGACGACGGGUAGCCGGCCUGAGAGGGUGACCGGCCACACUGGGACUGAGACACGGCCCAGACUCCUACGGGAGGCAGCAGUGGGGAAUAUUGCACAAUGGGCGCAAGCCUGAUGCAGCAACGCCGCGUGAGGGAUGACGGCCUUCGGGUUGUAACCUCUUUUAGUAGGGAAGAAGCGAAAGUGACGGUACCUGCAGAAAAAGCACCGGCUAACUACGUGCCAGCAGCCGCAGUAA
Molecule: ribosomal RNA, 483 nt
Filed under: uncultured bacterium
Lineage: Bacteria
Description: partial 16S ribosomal RNA
Rfam family: Bacterial small subunit ribosomal RNA
Source: RNAcentral